GUGGGUUACACCAGAAGUAGGUAGUCUAACCGCAAGGAGGCAGCCAACCACGGUAGGGUCAGCGACUGGGGUGAAGUCGUAACAAGGUAGCCGUAGGUGAACCUGCAGAAGGAUCA
This 116-nucleotide ribosomal RNA is filed under the name uncultured eukaryote. RNAcentral's name for it is "partial small subunit ribosomal RNA". It matches the Rfam family "Bacterial small subunit ribosomal RNA", at positions 1410 to 1525 of the family's 1533-position model. The record is from RNAcentral.